CACCAGUAUCCCGUCACUGGCCGAGCCCCUCCCCUUGGCAGCUACGGCAGCAGAGAGGCUCUGGUGCAUCACAUUCACCUCGGAGGUCGUGGGAGGUGAGUAUGUCUCCCCCCAGCACACACACACACCACCACUGAAUCUAGACCUCCUUUCUCCUUCCUCAGCUCCUGAUGAGGAGCAGGGUUGGGAGGCUCGCAGCUUCACCGUCAACAACAACAACAACAGAGGCCUGACAACAGCGCAACACGCGAACCACGCCCCUGACACUCCCCCGUGCUCUGGUUGGUCCAUUUCUAGGGUCCAGUCGUGUGAUGUUACAGGAUGUCGAAGGAAGCCAGCAGCCUAUGCACACACACGCCAAAACGACCACUAAGGUGAGUUUGUUUGGGCGGGGGGGGGGGGGGGCUAGAACGACACACUCUUCUCUCCCUAUGGACACAUUGCUGGAGAAGUCACAACUCUGCACCCAUUGAUCUCAGGAGAGCAGCAUAUCUUUACCCCAAAAGAAUCUCCCAGGACAGAGGUCCUCACUACUGACACUGGAAGGCUCCAGUGAUAACUCAACACUCGCUCACACUACAGUUACAUUAGUAUAGGACAGUUAGUGUACAGUGUACCACACACAAUAUGUAGUAUAUACCAUAUUACUACAUUACAUAUCAUUUACAUUUAGUCAUUUAGCAGACGCUCUUAUCCAGAGCGACUUACAGUAAGUACAGGGACAUUCCCCCGAGGCAAGUAGGGUGAAGUGCCUUGCCCAAGGACACAACGUCAUUUUUCACGGCCAGGAAUCGAACCAGCAACCUUCUGAUUAAUAGCCUGAUUCCCUAACCGCUCAGACAUCUGACUCCCCACAUUAGUGCUAUAGUAUUAUUAACAUAGUACAGUUAGUACACAGGGGUAUACU
This is a long non-coding RNA of Osmerus eperlanus (European smelt), 907 nucleotides long. RefSeq lists it as uncharacterized. Lineage: Eukaryota; Metazoa; Chordata; Actinopteri; Osmeriformes; Osmeridae. The transcript has 5 exons. The record is from RefSeq and is a predicted model, not a curated record.